GGCAUGGCUGAGACAGAAGCUCCUGGUGCUGGGAAGCCUUGCCGUUGGGAGUCUCCUGUAUCUAGUCGCCAGAGUUGGGAGCUUGGAUAGCAAUUGCCAGAACAGUUUCCACUAAAGCUGAUGGAGCCUUGUGAGAGCACUGCUUGGGGUGCUGCCCCUGGAACAAGAGCCCUGCUGGAGGACAAGCUCCAGGACCAGUGAAAAACUCCUGGGAUGCUGCUAAGGGAAGCUGAAUCAUCUGCCACCCCAUAUGGUUACAUGAAAGUCCUGAGCAGACUGACAAGAAAAACUAGAGAAAUUUCUCAAAUCAUAUGUGGAAAGAAAACAUACAAGAACAUCUAAGACUGGAAGAGUGAGUGGAGCUGAAAUAUAUGGAAAGUGACGACCAGUUCUAUAAAUAUCAAGAGAAAAUAAAAGUCACAUGAAGAGGGACACUCAAGUCCUACGUCUCUCAGUCCCUCAGAAAUAAAAUAAUCCUGGCUAUCACCGAUCCUAAGCUAUGCCAAGCCUGCCUGGGAGCCACUUGUUGGAAUGCCUGCGCGGGGCCUUGAAGGAAUAAUUGUUCUCAAAAAAGGCCAGCUGGGGGCUUCCCUGGUGGCGCAGUGGUUGAGAGUCCGCCUGCCGAUGCAGGGGACACGGGUUCGUGCCCCCGUCCGGGAAGAUCCCACAUGCCGCGGAGCGGCUGGGCCCAUAAGCCAUGGACGCUGGGCCUGCGCGCGUCCGGAGCCUGUGCUCCGCAACGGGAGAGGCCACAACAGUGAGAGGCCCGCGUACCGCAAAAAAAAAAAAAAAGAAAAGAAAAAGGCCAGCUGUUUACAUUGCCAUUUCCCACAGGGGUUCUGCUGCUCAGGAAGGCCGCGCUCUGCUGGUCCUUUAUUGGCAUCCAUCCUAUCCGUUGCUGCAUCAUGGGCCACAGAAUGUCUGUGUGAAGACGGUUUUCACCACAGCACAAAAGCACCAUCUUACGAUCACAUUUUUGCAAUCUGAUGGAGGAUUUGAGUGGCACAAGAUUCAAUAACUGCCAGAGGCAAGUGCAGUAAACCUAGAGAAAUAAAUCAAAAGGAAAAGAAGGGUCGUGGGGGAGUGACUUUAAUCACAUGCAUUAAGAUUGGUAACAUUUCUUAGUUCUUCUUGGUAGGAUUCUCAGUCUUUGUCUGAGAAAGACAGUGCUUACGGCCUUCCCCCUGGGAAUUCAUAUUCUGCUAUUGUCUGCAGGUCAAGGUGAAAGUCAGCGUUGAAAGAACCAGCCAUAAAUCUAAUAAGUGGCAAAGAAACAGACGGUUUUUAUGGAAAACACAGGCAGACUGUACAACAAUGACAAGACUAACCCUGUUUACUGAGCACUGGCUAGGAAAAGUUGGACAGCAUUGAUUUCAAAGGUGAGGUGGUCUGAAACGUGCAACGAGGAGUUUAAGCCCCAUGGUUUCUGGACUGUGGGAAAAAGAGCAGCCUCUUCCAGAGAUUACAGGAGAAUUCGACCUGGAAGGAAUAGGAGAAGAUGGAAUUUAAGGUGAGAAGGUUGAGAGUGUAAGAAGGCUAAUUAGGUACCGGUUACGGUAACACUAGACACAAUGCUUAAACAGAUAAGCCCCAAAUUUUCAGUGGCUCGUUCUCUCAUAGCCAGGUUAACAGUCCAGAGCAGAUAUUCUGCACUGGCUACACCUUUCUCUAUACAGGAGCUCAGAGACCUAAGCUCCUUCCAUCUUAUGACUCUGCCAACCCCUAAGGCUGAAGACGCUUUCCCAUUCAAACAGGCGUAAGGGAGGGAGCAGGGAAGGCAGAGAUUCUUUUCAAAAGCACUUUUGGGAAGUGACAUAAAUCUCCUCCUCAUUCCAUUGGUGAGAACUAGUCACGUGGCCACAUCUGGAUGCAGGAAGGACUAGAGGAUGCAGUCCCAGCCGGGCAGCAGCCUCCCGUGACAUCUCUACCCUACGAAGGGAAGCUGAGUGUUGGGGAGCAGCUGGCCUUUUGCUUCUCGUGCCACUGCUACAGGAGCUUCUUAGCCUUCUCUUACAAAUAUUGGUGCUCUUCACAGUGCUGUCCCAGGCCUCCUCUCUUCUCACUUUGCACAUUCUUCCCCAGUGAUCUCAUCCUCAUGGCUUUGAUUGAUUUUCAGCUAUCUGCUGCUGACUCCCAGAUCUCCAUCUCCAGCUACUCACUCACAACUCAAAACCCCUCAGGGCUCUCAUAACUCUGAGGUUAAUUUGCACUGUAACUACAGUUAUCCCUUUACCCUUCUGCCUGUAUCCCCCUGCUUUUCCUGAAGAACUAGAGCCCUGGCUCAAAAAUGAUGACUGAGCAUCUAAUCAUCACUGUAAUCAAUCUCAUUAUAUUACCAGGGUUUUUAAAGCUGUGGAUCACGACCCAUUAUUGGGACUAGAAUUAAUUGGGGGAGUUACAACUAGUUUUCUCAAGAAUGGAACAUGGAAUACAAUGGAAUAGAAAUAGCCCAAUGCUUGUCUCCCUGGUAAAAAAAUGGAAGACGCAUCCAUGGAGUGAGCAGCCUGGGAACUCCUGAGAACUCCCUUUACAGUCGCCAUUGCAAAGCCUCUCACAUGUGACAGAGGAUGAGAGAUAGGUUCCAGCUCCUGCACCUGCCUCAGCAGGCAGCUUUGGAUGACAAAUAGCGGCAAACACACAUCUUCAGCCCUGCAAUCACUUAAGAGGAAUUCCUUCCCUCUUCUCUGCCACUUGAAGCAGCCCAUCUGGAAGCAGCCCACCAAAGCAUGAGCAGGGCUCACUGGAAUGGCUAGCUCAUCCUUACUCCUCCUAUCGCUUUGUUUGUUUAUGUUUUUCAUGGUAGAAACAUUAAGGAGCUGACGAGUUUUGACUACUGACCACUGGACUCUACUUACCCAUUAACUAGAUUAUGCACCACUCCUGACUUAGUGCUUUGAAUUUAGCAUACACAGAACGACUUCCCUUGGGGAAGGGUGACUGGGACAGGAUGGGUUCUGGGGGACUCCCUCAUGAGGAUCUCUGAAUUCCCAUCACUUGAAGGUCUAGAGAGCCUGAUCUUCCACCAGUCCCAAGGCUACUUCCAAUUCCUGUCCCUGGAGUGUGUGAUGCUUCUUUGAGAAAAAAGUGUUAAAGUAUUUUAUAGCAAAGAAAUGGCCUUUUGCACAGUUAAUAGCAGUUUCAGUCCCUAGAUAUAAAGCCAUCAUAUUAUUUGAGUUUGCCACCCUUCGUUUUGUAAAACUUAAUGGGAUUACUUAUACAAAAAUAAAGCUAGUAACCAUCCAUUGUUUUCAGAGAUUAGUUUGAGGUUACCUUAAAUCUGUGACAGAUACUA
Physeter macrocephalus (sperm whale) is the source of this 3292-nucleotide RNA transcript. It is a transcript of the gene named heparan sulfate-glucosamine 3-sulfotransferase 5, with no coding region annotated. The record is from RefSeq and is a predicted model, not a curated record. NCBI's taxonomy places the organism in Eukaryota, Metazoa, Chordata, Mammalia, Artiodactyla, Physeteridae. The transcript is spliced from 8 exons.